AACGAACGCUGGCGGCGUGCCUAACACAUGCAAGUCGCGCGAGAAAAGGGGGGCAACCCCCUGAGUAAAGCGGCGCACGGGUGAGUAACACGUAGGUGACCUACCUCCGAGCCUGGGAUAACCUACCGAAAGGUGGGCUAAUACCGGAUAUGACCACGGGCAUCUCGGUGCCUGUGGUGAAAGGUGGCCUCUGCUUGCACGCUACUACUCAGAGAUGGGGCCCUGCGCGCCAUAGCUUGUUGGCGGGGUAACGGCCCACCAAGGCGAUGAUGGCUAGCUGGUCUGAGAGGAUGACCAGCCACACUGGGACUGGAACACGGCCCAGACUCCUACGGAGGCAGCAGUGGGGAAUAUUGGACAAUGGGCGCAAGCCUG
RNAcentral lists this ribosomal RNA (375 nucleotides) under uncultured bacterium. RNAcentral's name for it is "bacterial SSU rRNA". It matches the Rfam family "Bacterial small subunit ribosomal RNA", at positions 29 to 385 of the family's 1533-position model. The record is from RNAcentral.